CAGCACAAAUAGCAAAACAUGACUAAUGCUAAUGCUAACGAGAGCGAGACGUUUGCUUGAAAGAAAAGUGUUGUCAGUACUUUGGUUUUACGGCUACAGGCGUGGAACAAAUGACUGCACGGCACAAAAAGGUAUGCGCACAACAAACAACAGCAUCUGAGACUGAAGCCUCUGUGAUGGGACACAAGUAGGGGAUUUUAUUUUUUAUGUUUCGCUGCCAUGCAUGUCUUAGAGUGUUUUUAUUGUUGUGGAUUUUAAUUGCAUGUUUUUAAUUGUUGUGGAAUUUGAUUGUAUUUUUAGUUGCAUGUUUUUACAUUUUGCGGACUUUGAUUGUAUUUUUAAGACCUUGCCCCUUUUAGCUUGUUGCCCCUUGCAGCCAAGGUGCCCAAUCGAACGGCACCUGAAAUUAGACGCACCUGUGGAGCAUUAGGGCUGCAAAUUUAAAAGGAGAGAACAGGCAAGGAUCGAGGGAAGCGACAGGAGGAGGAAGCCAACGGAAGGAAGAGCGACCGGAGAGUAUCGACAGGCUUUGCCAAGAGCGUCCGGGUGGACGCCCGCAGGCUGGGAAGGAAUCCAGGACUAUGCAGCAGACCCCGCAAGCUACCGGAGUGAACCCCAAGAAGCCCACAACACACAGGGGCAGAGGAAACUCUGCCUCCGAAGAGCAGUCGGGACCCAGAGACCUGCGGUGACUCCCGGGAGCAACCAAGAGGCGGGGCGAGACGGGACGUGUACGGCCACAUAGGUCCCACCGGAGACUGGUGAGGAGAGUGGGCGUACUCAAUAUUUCUACGCGGAACUACAGCAGAGGCAGGGCUUGCGUGAGGACGCCGUGGAAGUGAGCGGAGCCAGGACACUGACCACGCCUGUCGUGGCUGUACCCUCACCAUAAUAUUGUUUACCAAUUGGUAUUUUUAGUGUUAUCAACUUUAC
Nerophis lumbriciformis (worm pipefish) is the source of this 933-nucleotide long non-coding RNA. RefSeq lists it as uncharacterized. The record is from RefSeq and is a predicted model, not a curated record. Lineage: Eukaryota; Metazoa; Chordata; Actinopteri; Syngnathiformes; Syngnathidae.